CGAUUAGUCGGUGUUAAUAUACGACCCGACUAGCAGCUUCCGGGAAACCAAAGUUUUUCGUUUCCGGGGAAGUAUGGUUGCAAAGCUGAAACUUAAAGGAAUUGACGGAAGGGCACCACCAGGAGUGGAGCCUGCGGCUCAAUUUGACUCAACACGGGAAAACUCACCCGGCCCGGACACCGUAAGGAUUGACAGACUGAGAGCUCUUUCUUAAUUCGGUGGGUGGUGGUGCAUGGCCGUUCUUAGUUGGUGGAGCGAUUUGUCUGGUUAAUUCCGAUAACGAACGAGGCUCUGGCCUAUUAAAUAGUCGGUAUAUCCAGAAAAGUUUACCGUACUUCUUAGAGGGACAAACGGCGUCUAGCCGCGUGAAAUAGAGCAAUAACAGGUCUGUGAUGCCCUUAGAUGUCCGGGGCUGCACGCGCGCUACACUGAAAGAAUCAGUAUGCGCUUUAACCUAGUCCGGAAGGAUUGGGUAACCCGAGCAAAUUCUUUCGUGCUUGGGAUAGGGAAUUGCAAUUAUUUCCCUUAAACGAGGAAUUCCCAGUAAAUGCGGGUCAUAAGCUCGCGUUGAUUACGUCCCUGCCCUUUGUACACACCGCCCGUCGCUACUACCGAUUGGAGGUAGAGCAGAGGCCUCGGGAUUGAUCUCUGGACUGGUUUCCGCUAGCCC
This 670-nucleotide ribosomal RNA is filed under the name uncultured eukaryote. RNAcentral describes it as "bacterial SSU rRNA". It matches the Rfam family "Eukaryotic small subunit ribosomal RNA", at positions 1050 to 1741 of the family's 1831-position model. The record is from RNAcentral.